RNAcentral lists this ribosomal RNA (531 nucleotides) under uncultured bacterium. RNAcentral's name for it is "bacterial SSU rRNA". It matches the Rfam family "Bacterial small subunit ribosomal RNA", at positions 777 to 1304 of the family's 1533-position model. The record is from RNAcentral.
AAUAGAUACCCCGGUAGUCCACGCCGUAAACGAUGAGUGCUAAGUGUUAGAGGGUUUCCGCCCUUUAGUGCUGCAGCUAACGCAUUAAGCACUCCGCCUGGGGGAGUACGGCCGCAAGGCUGAAGCUCAAAGGAAUUGACGGGGGCCCGCACAAGCGGUGGAGCAUGUGGUUUAAUUCGAAGCAACGCGAAGAACCUUACCAGGUCUUGACAUCCUCUGACCUCCCUGGAGACAGGGCUUUCCCCCUUCGGGGGACAGAGUGACAGGUGGUGCAUGGUUGUCGUCAGCUCGUGUCGUGAGAUGUUGGGUUAAGUCCCGCAACGAGCGCAACCCUUGACCUUAGUUGCCAGCAUUGAGUUGGGCACUCUAAGGUGACUGCUGGUGACAAACCGGAGGAAGGUGGGGAUGACGUCAAAUCAUCAUGCCCCUUAUGACCUGGGCUACACACGCGCUACAAUGGAUGGUACAAAGGGCUGCGAGACCGCGAGGUUAAGCCAAUCCCAGAAAACCAUUCCCAGUUCGGAUUGCAGG